This 190-nucleotide ribosomal RNA is filed under the name uncultured rumen bacterium. RNAcentral describes it as "partial 16S ribosomal RNA". It matches the Rfam family "Bacterial small subunit ribosomal RNA", at positions 338 to 525 of the family's 1533-position model. The record is from RNAcentral.
CCUACGGGAGGCAGCAGUGAGGAAUAUUGGUCAAUGGGCGAGAGCCUGAACCAGCCAAGUAGCGUGCAGGAAGACUGCCCUAUGGGUUGUAAACUGCUUUUAUAGGGGAAUAAAGUGAGGUACGUGUACCUUUUUGUAUGUACCCUAUGAAUAAGGACCGGCUAAUUCCGUGCCAGCAGCCGCGGUAAUA